This 73-nucleotide transfer RNA is filed under the name Phycisphaerales bacterium. RNAcentral describes it as "tRNA-Met". It matches the Rfam family "tRNA". From Rfam's summary of the family: Transfer RNA (tRNA) molecules are approximately 80 nucleotides in length. Their secondary structure includes four short double-helical elements and three loops (D, anti-codon, and T loops). The record is from RNAcentral. Lineage: Bacteria; Pseudomonadati; Planctomycetota; Phycisphaerae; Phycisphaerales.
AGUGGAGUAGCUCAGUGGUUAGAGCAGUGGAAUCAUAAUCCAUUGGCCGGGGGUUCAAAUCCCUCUUCCACUA